This 253-nucleotide ribosomal RNA is filed under the name uncultured bacterium. Its description in RNAcentral is "partial 16S ribosomal RNA". It matches the Rfam family "Bacterial small subunit ribosomal RNA", at positions 524 to 776 of the family's 1533-position model. The record is from RNAcentral.
GACAGAGGGUGCAAACGUUGUUCGGAUUUACUGGGCGUAAAGGGCUCGUAGGCGGCCAACUAAGUCAGACGUGAAAUCCCUCGGCUUAACCGGGGAACUGCGUCUGAUACUGGAUGGCUUGGAUUUGGGAGAGGGAUGCGGAAUUCCAGGUGUAGCGGUGAAAUGCGUAGAUAUCUGGAGGAACACCGGUGGCGAAGGCGGCAUCCUGGACCAAUAUUGACGCUGAGGAGCGAAAGCGAGGGGAGCAAACGGG